GUUGUAGUUCAGUUGGUUAGAACGCCUGAUUGUGGUUCAGGAGGUCGCCGGUUCGAGUCCGGUCUUC
RNAcentral lists this transfer RNA (67 nucleotides) under uncultured Roseivirga sp. It matches the Rfam family "tRNA", at positions 7 to 64 of the family's 71-position model. Rfam says of the family: Transfer RNA (tRNA) molecules are approximately 80 nucleotides in length. RNAcentral also lists the same sequence under 2 other names. The record is from RNAcentral. Lineage: Bacteria; Pseudomonadati; Bacteroidota; Cytophagia; Cytophagales; Roseivirgaceae.